This 409-nucleotide ribosomal RNA is filed under the name uncultured bacterium. RNAcentral describes it as "bacterial SSU rRNA". It matches the Rfam family "Bacterial small subunit ribosomal RNA", at positions 355 to 776 of the family's 1533-position model. The record is from RNAcentral. RNAcentral also lists the same sequence under 1 other name.
UGGGGAAUAUUGCACAAUGGGCGGAAGCCUGAUGCAGCGACGCCGCGUGAGGGAUGACGGCCUUCGGGUUGUAAACCUCUUUCAGCAGGGACGAAGCGCAAGUGACGGUACCUGCAGAAGAAGCGCCGGCCAACUACGUGCCAGCAGCCGCGGUAAGACGUAGGGCGCGAGCGUUGUCCGGAUUUAUUGGGCGUAAAGAGCUCGUAGGCGGCUUGUCGCGUCGAAUGUGAAAUCUCAGGGCUCAACUCUGACAUUGCAUUCGAUACGGGCAGGCUAGAGUUCGGUAGGGGAGACUGGAAUUCCUGGUGUAGCGGUGAAAUGCGCAGAUAUCAGGAGGAACACCGGUGGCGAAGGCGGGUCUCUGGGCCGAUACUGACGCUGAGGAGCGAAAGCGUGGGGAGCGAACAGG